UUAAGUGAGAAAGCGUACAGGGCGGAUGCCUUGGCAAUCAGAGGCGAAGAAGGACGUGCUAAUCUGCGAAAAGCGUGGGUGAGUUGAUAAGAAGCGUUUAACCCACGAUGUCCGAAUGGGGAAACCCGAUAGGCGAAGAGCCUAUCAUUGCGAGGUGAAUAAAAUAGCCUCGUAAGGCGAACCGGGAGAACUGAAACAUCUAAGUACCCCGAGGAAAAGAAAUCAACCGAGAUUCUGUGAGUAGCGGCGAGCGAAAGCGGAGGAGCCAGUAAGUAAUAGCAGCAGAGAUAGAGGAAUUGUCUGGGAAGGCAAGCGACACAGGGUGAUAGCCCCGUACUUAAAAUCCAGGCUGUGGUACUAAGCUUACGAGAAGUAGGGCGGGACACGAGGAAUCCUGUCUGAAGAUGGGGGGACCAUCCUCCAAGGCUAAAUACUCCUGAUUGACCGAUAGUGAACCAGUACUGUGAAGGAAAGGCGAAAAGAACCCCGGUGAGGGGAGUGAAAUAGAACCUGAAACCCUGUACGUACAAGCAGUGGGAGCCCGCAAGGGUGACUGCGUACCUUUUGUAUAAUGGGUCAGCGACUUAUAUUUUGUAGCGAGGUUAACUGAAUAAGGGAGCCGAAGGGAAACCGAGUCUUAACUGGGCGUUGAGUUGCAAGGUAUAGACCCGAAACCCGGUGAUCUAGCCAUGGGCAGGUUGAAGGUUGGGUAACACUAACUGGAGGACCGAACCGACUAAUGUUGAAAAAUUAGCGGAUGACUUGUGGCUGGGGGUGAAAGGCCAAUCAAACCGGGAGAUAGCUGGUUCUCCCCGAAAUCUAUUUAGGUAGAGCCUUGUGUGAAUACCUUUGGGGGUAGAGCACUGUUUCGGCUAGGGGCCCAUCCUGGGUUACCAAACCGAUGCAAACUCCGAAUACCAAAGAGUAAUGCACAGGAGACACACGGCGGGUGCUAACGUCCGUCGUGGAGAGGGAAACAACCCAGACCGCCAGCUAAGGUCCCAAAAUCUAUAUUAAGUGGGAAACGAAGUGGGAAGGCUUAGACAGCUAGGAUGUUGGCUUAGAAGCAGCCACCAUUUAAAGAAAGCGUAAUAGCUCACUAGUCGAGUCGGCCUGCACGGAAGAUGUAACGGGGCUAAAAUAUAGUACCGAAGCUGCGGCAUCAGGCGUAUCACUAAUACGCCUUAACGAUUAACCACUUGCGAAGCAAGUGGGUAAAGCGAAAAACACGUUGAGUGUAAUGGCAAAGAAUCGAAGAGGGAUAUUAGUGAUACGUCUGUUGGGUAGGGGAGCGUUGUGUAAGCGGAAGAAGGUGGUUCGAGAGGAUUGCUGGACGUAUCACAAGUGCGAAUGCUGACAUAAGUAACGAUAAAACGGGUGAAAAACCCGUUCGCCGGAAGACCAAGGGUUCCUGUCCAACGUUAAUCGGGGCAGGGUGAGUCGGCCCUAAGGCGAGGCUGAAAAGCGUAGUCGAUGGGAAACGGGUUAAUAUUCCCGUACUUGGUAAAGUUGCGAUGUGGGGACGGAGAAGGUUAGGUUAUCGACCUGUUGGAAAUGGUCGUUUAAGUUGGUAGGUGGGUGAGUUAGGCAAAUCCGGCUCACCGUUAACACUGAGAGAUGAUGACGAGGCACUAAGGUGCUGAAGUAACUGAUACCACACUUCCAGGAAAAGCCACUAAGCUUCAGGCUUUACUAAACCGUACUGAAAACCGACACAGGUGGUCAGGUAGAGAAUACUCAGGUGCUUGAGAGAACUCGGGUGAAGGAACUAGGCAAAAUAGCACCGUAACUUCGGGAGAAGGUGCGCCGGCGUAGAUUGUAGUGACUUGCUCACGAAGGUUGAACCGGUCGAAGAUACCAGCUGGCUGCAACUGUUUAUUAAAAACACAGCACUCUGCAAACACGAAAGUGGACGUAUAGGGUGUGAUGCCUGCCCGGUGCUGGAAGGUUAAUUGAUGGUGUAAUCGAAAGAGAAGCUCCAGAUCGAAGCCCCAGUAAACGGCGGCCGUAACUAUAACGGUCCUAAGGUAGCGAAAUUCCUUGUCGGGUAAGUUCCGACCUGCACGAAUGGCAUAAUGAUGGCCAGGCUGUCUCCACCCGAGACUCAGUGAAAUUGAAAUCGCCGUGAAGAUGCGGUGUACCCGCGGCUAGACGGAAAGACCCCGUGAACCUUUACUAUAGCUUGACACUGAACCUUGAAUUUUGAUGUGUAGGAUAGGUGGGAGACUGUGAAGCGGUAACGCCAGUUGA
This 2250-nucleotide ribosomal RNA is filed under the name Avibacterium paragallinarum JF4211. Its description in RNAcentral is "bacterial LSU rRNA". It matches the Rfam family "Bacterial large subunit ribosomal RNA", at positions 1 to 2178 of the family's 2925-position model. Lineage: Bacteria; Pseudomonadati; Pseudomonadota; Gammaproteobacteria; Pasteurellales; Pasteurellaceae. The record is from RNAcentral.